RNAcentral lists this long non-coding RNA (395 nucleotides) under Rattus norvegicus (Norway rat). RNAcentral describes it as "long non-coding RNA NONRATT005985". The record is from RNAcentral. Lineage: Eukaryota; Metazoa; Chordata; Mammalia; Rodentia; Muridae.
ACGCACGUCUGUGGAGAAGCGUCCAAGUCGCCGGUCGCCUAGCGUUUCUCACUGAUUUUGUCGCUUUUAGGAUUCUCGAGCCCCUUCAGGACGGUCACCAUGGAGUUGUCACCGCUGCAGCCUGUAAAUGAAAAUAUGCUACUCAACAAAAAGAAGAAUGAAGAUGGCAAGAAAAGACUGUCCGUUGAAAGAAUCUAUCAGAAAAAAACCCAACUGGAACAUAUACUGCUCCGCCCAGAUACCUACAUCGGCUCUGUGGAGUUAGUGACCCAGCAAAUGUGGGUUUACGAUGAAGAUGUUGGUAUUAACUACAGGGAAGUCACUUUUGUUCCUGGUUUGUAUAAAAUCUUUGAUGAAAUUCUAGUUAAUGCUGCUGAUAACAAACAAAGGGACCC